This 24-nucleotide transfer RNA is filed under the name Rhampholeon spectrum. Its description in RNAcentral is "partial tRNA-Leu". Lineage: Eukaryota; Metazoa; Chordata; Lepidosauria; Squamata; Chamaeleonidae. The record is from RNAcentral.
ACUUUUAAAGGAAAACAGACNUCC